UCCCUGAUGGCUCAGAUGGUAAAGCGUCUGUCUACAAUGCAGGAGACCUGGGUUCAAUCCUGGGUUGGGAA
RNAcentral lists this transfer RNA (71 nucleotides) under Bos taurus (domestic cattle). It matches the Rfam family "tRNA". From Rfam's summary of the family: Transfer RNA (tRNA) molecules are approximately 80 nucleotides in length. Their secondary structure includes four short double-helical elements and three loops (D, anti-codon, and T loops). RNAcentral also lists the same sequence under 5 other names. The record is from Rfam by way of RNAcentral. Lineage: Eukaryota; Metazoa; Chordata; Mammalia; Artiodactyla; Bovidae.